GAUGAACGCUGGCGGCGUGCCUAAUACAUGCAAGUCGAGCGAACUGAUUAGAAGCUUGCUUCUAUGACGUUAGCGGCGGACGGGUGAGUAACACGUGGGCAACCUGCCUGUAAGACUGGGAUAACUUCGGGAAACCGAAGCUAAUACCGGAUAGGAUCUUCUCCUUCAUGGGAGAUGAUUGAAAGAUGGUUUCGGCUAUCACUUACAGAUGGGCCCGCGGUGCAUUAGCUAGUUGGUGAGGUAACGGCUCACCAAGGCAACGAUGCAUAGCCGACCUGGGAGGGUGAUCGGCCACACUGGGACUGAGACACGGCCCAGGCUCCUACGGGAGGCAGCAGUAGGGAAUCUUCCGCAAUGGACGAAAGUCUGACGGAGCAACGCCGCGUGAGUGAUGAAGGCUUUCGGGUCGUAAAACUCUGUUGUUAGGGAAGAACAAGUACAAGAGUAACUGCUUGUACCUUGACGGUACCUAACCAGAAAGCCACGGCUAACUACGUGCCAGCCGCCGCCGUAA
Molecule: ribosomal RNA, 514 nt
Filed under: uncultured bacterium
Lineage: Bacteria
Description: partial 16S ribosomal RNA
Rfam family: Bacterial small subunit ribosomal RNA
Source: RNAcentral